RNAcentral lists this small nucleolar RNA (106 nucleotides) under Panthera leo (lion). Its description in RNAcentral is "Small nucleolar RNA snR87 (ENSPLOG00000006270.1)". It matches the Rfam family "Small nucleolar RNA snR87". The record is from Rfam by way of RNAcentral. Lineage: Eukaryota; Metazoa; Chordata; Mammalia; Carnivora; Felidae. RNAcentral also lists the same sequence under 1 other name.
GGCCUUUAAUGAUGAUAUACUUUCCACUUUACUAAUUAGUAUUAGAAAACUCAUGUUACUUUCACGUGUUUAAUAGCAUGCAAGAAGAUUUAUAUCUCAAUAGGCU